CAGUAGCCACGGGAAUACGUAGGUGGCAAGCGUUGUCCGGAAUUAUUGGGCGUAAAGGGCUCGCAGGCGGUUUCUUAAGUCUGAUGUGAAAGCCCCCGGCUCAACCGGGGAGGGUCAUUGGAAACUGGGAAACUUGAGUGCAGAAGAGGAGAGUGGAAUUCCACGUGUAGCGGUGAAAUGCGUAGAGAUGUGGAGGAACACCAGUGGCGAAGGCGACUCUCUGGUCUGUAACUGACGCUGAGGAGCGAAAGCGUGGGGAGCGAACAGGAUUAGAUACCCGCGUAGUACUGUCUCUUAUACC
This 301-nucleotide ribosomal RNA is filed under the name uncultured bacterium. Its description in RNAcentral is "partial 16S ribosomal RNA". It matches the Rfam family "Bacterial small subunit ribosomal RNA", at positions 509 to 808 of the family's 1533-position model. The record is from RNAcentral.